This 445-nucleotide ribosomal RNA is filed under the name uncultured bacterium. RNAcentral's name for it is "partial 16S ribosomal RNA". It matches the Rfam family "Bacterial small subunit ribosomal RNA", at positions 354 to 796 of the family's 1533-position model. The record is from RNAcentral.
GUGAGGAAUAUUGCGCAAUGGAGGCAACUCUGACGCAGCCAUGCCGCGUGCAGGGAGAAGGCGCUACGCGUUGUAAACUGCUUUUAACCGGGAAGAAACUCCAGGACGUGUCCUGGGUUGACGGUACCGGAGGAAUAAGCACCGGCGACCUUCGUGCCAGCAGCCGCGGUAAUACGAAGGGUGCAAGCGUUAUCCGGAUUCAUUGGGUUUAAAGGGUGCGUAGGCGGAGCUUUAAGUCAGUGGUGAGAUCCUGCAGCUUAACUGUAGACUUGCCAUUGAUACUGGCGCGCGUGAGUGCGCUUGAAGUGGGCGGAAUGUGCCGUGUAGCGGUGAAAUGCUUAGAUAUGGCACAGAACACCAAUUGCGAAGGCAGCUCACUAAGGCGAUACUGACGCUGAGGCACGAAAGCGUGGGGAUCGAACAGGAGUAGAAACCCCUGUGGUCC